This 464-nucleotide ribosomal RNA is filed under the name uncultured bacterium. RNAcentral's name for it is "partial 16S ribosomal RNA". It matches the Rfam family "Bacterial small subunit ribosomal RNA", at positions 338 to 795 of the family's 1533-position model. The record is from RNAcentral.
CCUACGGGUGGCAGCAGUGGGGAAUCUUCCGCAAUGGGCGAAAGCCUGACGGAGCAACGCCGCGUGAUCGAAUGAAGGCCUUCGGGUUGUAAAGAUCUGUUGACAGGGACGAAUAAGCCAUGCGAAUAGUUUGGUGUAUGACGGUACCUGUUUAGAAAGCUCCGGCUAACUACGUGCCAGCAGCCGCGGUAAUACGUAGGGGGCAAGCGUUAUCCGGAUUUACUGGGGGUAAAGGGAGCGUAGACGGCAGCACAAGUCUGGAGUGAAAUGCCGGGGCUUAACCCCGGAACUGCUUUGGAAACUGUGCAGCUAGAGUGCAGGAGAGGUAAGUGGAAUUCCUAGUGUAGCGGUGAAAUGCGUAGAUAUUAGGAGGAACACCAGUGGCGAAGGCGGCUUACUGGACUGUAACUGACGUUGAGGCUCGAAAGCGUGGGGAGCAAACAGGAUUAGAUACCCCUGUAGUC